CCUACGGGGGGCUGCAGUGGGGAAUAUUGCACAAUGGGCGGAAGCCUGAUGCAGCGACGCCGCGUGCGGGAUGACGGCCUUCGGGUUGUAAACCGCUUUCAGCUCUGACGAAGCUUUUGUGACGGUAGGAGCAGAAGAAGCACCGGCUAACUACGUGCCAGCAGCCGCGGUAAUACGUAGGGUGCGAGCGUUGUCCGGAAUUAUUGGGCGUAAAGAGCUUGUAGGCGGCUUGUCGCGUCUGCUGUGAAAGCCCGGGGCUUAACCCCGGGUCUGCA
RNAcentral lists this ribosomal RNA (275 nucleotides) under uncultured Ornithinimicrobium sp. Its description in RNAcentral is "partial 16S ribosomal RNA". It matches the Rfam family "Bacterial small subunit ribosomal RNA", at positions 338 to 625 of the family's 1533-position model. The record is from RNAcentral. Lineage: Bacteria; Bacillati; Actinomycetota; Actinomycetes; Micrococcales; Ornithinimicrobiaceae.